The sequence is a non-coding RNA, 280 nucleotides long. It matches the Rfam family "Eukaryotic small subunit ribosomal RNA", at positions 104 to 385 of the family's 1831-position model.
AAUCAGUAUCGUUUAUUGAUAGUACCUUACUACUUGGAUACCCGUGGUAAUUCUAGAGCUUAAUACAUGCUAAAACCUUCGACUUCGGAAGGGGUGUAUUUAUUAGAUAAAAAACCCAAUGCCCUUCGGGGCUCCUUGGUGAUUCAUAGUAACUUAUCGAAAUCGCAUGGCCUUGCGCCGGCGAUGGUUCAUUCAAAAUUUCUGCCCUAUCAACUUUCGAUGGUAGGAUAGUGGCCUACCAUGGUGGCAACGGGUAACGGGGAAUUAGGGUUCGAUUCCG